This is a long non-coding RNA of Gopherus flavomarginatus (Mexican gopher tortoise), 1160 nucleotides long. RefSeq lists it as uncharacterized. Lineage: Eukaryota; Metazoa; Chordata; Testudines; Testudinidae. The transcript has 2 exons. The record is from RefSeq and is a predicted model, not a curated record.
ACUCAGGGCGACACCCCCUAGUCUAGCCCCCUCUGAGUCCUUGCUGUCGUCGCCCUCCCCCUUUUGCCCCCUCCGGCUCCGAGCGCAGUACAGGCUGCUUUCGGCCCCAGAUGGCUGUGAAAGAAAAAAUAUAGACAGAGGCGGAGCAAAAGGAAAUACAAGUUACAGAACUGACAUUACGUUUGCAAAGCUUAACUGUCCAGUAAGAUCCAACAGUGUGCCUUUGUGACCCUGGAGUCGGUGUGGCUUGGUGACACCAAAGAAGCCACAGGCAGCCGACCUGGACUGGAAUCUCUGAAAGAGACGCCGCAGGAGAUUCCAGGGUGUAACAGAACAGCCCUCCCAAGAGCAGAAGCAUGUUGGAAAUUCUGGACAAGCUGUAUACAGGAUAAUCUCCCUUCCACCUCUCCCCCUCCUCUGAACAUUAUACACAGAAGUGGCCAGUCUGGACGUACCUGUAUAAUCAGAGAAAACUGAUGCCAGCUGAACAGCAUUCAACGUAUCAUGCAUUUACUGGCACAACAGGAAUUAUGUUUUGUGUUCUAUGUCCUGUCUUGUGGUGUUUGUCUCGUGGCCAAAAUUGUUGUGUUUAAUAUUUUUAUAGGAUAGUCUAGUUAAAAUUAAAUAGAAGGGUUAAAUGCAGAUACUUGUUUUAUUCAACUUUGGAAUACAAGGUGUUUGGAUAAAUCAGGAGAAUGUGAUACACUAAAGUCUGAUGCAUUUGCUUAAGUAAGAAAAAGAAGCUUCAUUGGCCAAAUUGUUAAUUAAAGAAAUUGUUGUUAUAAUUUGCAUGCCACCGGUCUUUGAAAGCAAAGACAUGAAAAGUUAACCCACUCCCCAUAUUGUACAUGGGAUCUUUCUGGCUACCUCAAAUUUCUAGCCAGAGGGCUGGGGAUGGUGGAAGGCUAUUGGACUAGAGGUUGAAUUGAAUGAACUCCUCAAAGUGGGUGUGCUUGUUCUAGCUCGUUGCUCCAAAGUUCUGUAAUAAGGUUAUUUUAGUAAAAGAGUAUGUGUGACAUAUAUUAAAUAAUAAGACUAAUGUACUGUAUAAUGGCAAUGUUUACGUGUUCGUUGUUGGGAAAAGGUGUAUAGGUGAAAAGUGAAAGUUUCCUUUGCAGGUUAAAGGAAGCCAAAAAGGGAGAAGACAAAAAAGAACAGAA